UUAUCAUUCAUAUUAGGAUAAUAUUUCACAAAUGUGGUCAGUAUUGUCUUCCUCAACAUUAGGAGGUUAGGUAGGUGGAAUAAGUUCUCGUGUUCUGUAGCACUAUAGGGUAACCACAGUAAACAACAGUUUAUGGCUUUUUUUUUCAGAUAGCUGAGAGAGAGGAUUUUGCAUGUUACCAACACAAAGAUAUGAUAAAGGUUUGAGGUUAUGGACAUGCUAAUUACCCUGAUUUGAUCAUUAUACAUUGUAUACAUCUACUGAAAUAUCCCACUGUACCCCAUAAAUAUGUACAAUUAUGUGUCAAGUAAAAUAUAUGAAUAUAUAUAGUAAAUAAAUGAAGUAAUUUGCCAUUACUUAGCAUUUUAUUAAAUGUAUGUUUCCAAAAUUGUAUUUGUUCUUAAGACCUUUUGAGUGAUCACAGUUUCUGCUAUUCUCCAUAAGGCCUCAGUUUAACAGGGUGAUGAAAUCUUGAAUAAAACAAAGGAAUGUGUUUGUAUUUGCAGUGCUUCCCUUGUAGGUGAAAUGGCCACCAGACCGAGGCUUUCUGGAAUGCAUUCAUUCUCUGCAGUUGAAAGGGAUGAUCCUGGAUCUGAAAGAAAGAGCCACAGUGACUCCAAGAGUGGAGCCAGGGCAUGCUGGACACUGCACAGCUAUGGCCAUGUGUGUCACCACCGAGGGAGAUGUGAGAGAAACGCAGAGGGAUUGCUUGUGACUGUGCCUUCUCGAUGUACGAUGGACCGUUCUGCUCAAAUACUGACUGAAGCUGACAACAAAUUUUCAGCCGAUAAGUAG
RNAcentral lists this long non-coding RNA (795 nucleotides) under Macaca mulatta (Rhesus monkey). RNAcentral's name for it is "lncRNA (ENSMMUG00000062068.1)". The record is from RNAcentral. Lineage: Eukaryota; Metazoa; Chordata; Mammalia; Primates; Cercopithecidae.